RNAcentral lists this ribosomal RNA (253 nucleotides) under uncultured bacterium. RNAcentral describes it as "partial 16S ribosomal RNA". It matches the Rfam family "Bacterial small subunit ribosomal RNA", at positions 524 to 776 of the family's 1533-position model. The record is from RNAcentral.
UACGUAGGGUGCGAGCGUUAAUCGGAAUUACUGGGCGUAAAGCGUGCGCAGGCGGCUUUGCAAGACAGAUGUGAAAUCCCCGGGCUCAACCUGGGAAUGGCGCUUGUGACUGCAGUGCUGGAGUGCGGCAGAGGGGGAUGGAAUUCCGCGUGUAGCAGUGAAAUGCGUAGAUAUGCGGAGGAACACCAAUGGCGAAGGCAAUCCCCUGGGCCUGUACUGACGCUCAUGCACGAAAGCGUGGGGAGCAAACAGG